GACAAUUUCAAUUGUUUCUUCACUAUAAUAUCUGCAGUUUUGAUUCAUGUUUUCGACAUUUUAAAGCUCUAAAUGGCGGGAAAAUAACCAAAAAUUGAUCUGUGUUCACUUAAGAUCAAGACAGAGCAAGCAAAGGUGAUGCCAAUCAAUGACAAUGCAGUCACAGACCAGAACAGCCAGGAGGAGAUAGUUAGUUCUUUGUUGGUGAUUCGCAGACCAUCCACUGGUUAGCAAGAGAGUUAGUAAUGCCCGUGAAGGCAUCGUUGUUCAUUUGGAGGAUGGCUACUCGCUGCCAUUUGAAUCUUUUGACGAUGGCGACUCUACCAAGGUUAGAGUAAUGCUCCGAGGGGUUUGUUCUGAAGUACAGAGGAUAUGUGGACUUGGAGGAGAGAAGAGGAGUAGCGCUUGAGAACCCAAUCUGAAAAACAAGCAGGGAUGAUCCCUGCCGAGUUCCAACCACCCCUACUCGUGUCGAUUCCAAACAGCCCGCCUAUUAACAGCUUUUGACGUCCGCUCUCACCGAGACAGGGCCAAAUGAGGAUC
This is a long non-coding RNA of Actinia tenebrosa (Australian red waratah sea anemone), 543 nucleotides long. The record is from RefSeq and is a predicted model, not a curated record. NCBI's taxonomy places the organism in Eukaryota, Metazoa, Cnidaria, Anthozoa, Actiniaria, Actiniidae.